Molecule: ribosomal RNA, 511 nt
Filed under: uncultured Olsenella sp.
Lineage: Bacteria; Bacillati; Actinomycetota; Coriobacteriia; Coriobacteriales; Atopobiaceae
Description: bacterial SSU rRNA
Rfam family: Bacterial small subunit ribosomal RNA
Source: RNAcentral
UAAUACGUAGGGGGCAAGCGUUAUCCGGAUUCAUUGGGCGUAAAGCGCGCGUAGGCGGCUUGUUAAGCGAGAUGUGAAAACCGGGGGCUCAACCCGCGGCCUGCAUCUCGAACUGGCAGGCUUGAGUCUGGUAGAGGAAAGUGGAAUUCCGAGUGUAGCGGUGAAAUGCGCAGAUAUUCGGAGGAACACCAGUGGCGAAGGCGGCUUUCUGGGCCACGACUGACGCUGAGGCGCGAAAGCUAGGGGAGCAAACAGGAUUAGAUACCCUGGUAGUCCUAGCCGUAAACGAUGGGCACUAGGUGUGGGGGAUCAUAGACGUCUUCCGUGCCGAAGCUAACGCAUUAAGUGCCCCGCCUGGGGAGUACGGCCGCAAGGCUAAAACUCAAAGGAAUUGACGGGGGCCCGCACAAGCAGCGGAGCAUGUGGCUUAAUUCGACGCAACGCGAAGAACCUUACCAAGGCUUGACAUGCAGGUGAAGCGACGGAAACGUCGUGGCCGAGAGGAGCCUGC